GAUGAACGCUGGCGGCGUGCCUAACACAUGCAAGUCGAGCGGCAGCGAGGGGUGCUUGCACCCUGUCGGCGAGCGGCGGACGGCUGAGUAACGCGUGGGAACGUGCCCCAAAGUGAGGAAUAACUGCCCGAAAGGGUAGCUAAUACCGCAUAUUAUCUUCGGAUCAAAGGAUUUAUCCGCUUUGGGAGCGGCUCGCGUCGGAUUAGGUAGUUGGUGAGGUAAUGGCUCACCAAGCCGACGAUCCGUAGCUGGUCUGAGAGGAUGACCAGCCAGACUGGAACUGAGACACGGUCCAGACUCCUACGGGAGGCAGCAGUGAGGCAUCUUCCACAAUGGGCGAAAGCCUGAUGGAGCAACGCCGCGUGAAGGACGAAGGCCUUCGAGUUGUAAACUGCUUUUAUAAGUGAGGAAUAUGACGGUACCUUAUGAAUAAGGAUCGGCUAACUACGUG
This 451-nucleotide ribosomal RNA is filed under the name uncultured bacterium. RNAcentral's name for it is "partial 16S ribosomal RNA". It matches the Rfam family "Bacterial small subunit ribosomal RNA", at positions 28 to 507 of the family's 1533-position model. The record is from RNAcentral.